ACUUUGUCCCUUCCAAAAUAGCAAUGUUUCUAUUGUUAGAUCAUCCAUCAGAUGAUUAGACUCUCUGUCACUCCCCGUGCCCCGCCUAUUUGGUCUGGUUCGGGCACGUGAACAGACCGCCGGAUGGACAGAGUCUCCCCUGUACGUCCAAGGUGUCGCAAUCAAUACAAUACGAGAGGUUCAAACCAGGAACAGUGUUCAUUCAUAGAUUGUAUAAGGAAGUAUCAAAAACAUAAACUACUAAGUUAUUACAACAUUCAACUUAGAUGCAUUUUACAACAUAAUUUUUUCUUUUACAAUCAACUUCCAAAUAUAAUCCCAAUUAUUACAAUUUGGUACAACUUAAAAAAAGUUUGUUCUGUGUCUUUAAACCUCCCAAGCUAGACCACCAACUCGGGUACUGCUACCUCAGUCUCUGGGUAGGGCGCUAUCUACUGAGCUACGCCCUUGCCUUGCGCUGCCGCGCCGCUCACGUGUGUACCUGUAACACCCCAAAACAACGUGGGGUGAGAACCAACUCCAUGGUUCCCAGUGGGUACGGCCACCCAAGGGAAAAGCUCGACCAAUAGGUCUAAUGAGGCCCUGCAACAUGUUAGUGCAAUAAUAUAUAUCACCAUAUUUAUACGAUAUUGAACUAAAUGUCAUGCCUCCCGAAAUGCAACAAGAAAUGUUUGCAACUAUACAAGUAGAUUAAUUAAUUCUACUUCAUAUUCUUAAUCAUUCUUUACUUGUAACCUUUCUUUACUUUAUCAGCUAUUCUUAUUCAUUAGCCUUUCUUUACUUUAAUUCCUUGCCGCACUAU
RNAcentral lists this long non-coding RNA (802 nucleotides) under Ananas comosus (pineapple). RNAcentral's name for it is "long non-coding RNA (ACOM_LNC020076)". Lineage: Eukaryota; Viridiplantae; Streptophyta; Magnoliopsida; Poales; Bromeliaceae. The record is from RNAcentral.